Molecule: long non-coding RNA, 788 nt
Organism: Papaver somniferum (opium poppy)
Lineage: Eukaryota; Viridiplantae; Streptophyta; Magnoliopsida; Ranunculales; Papaveraceae
Exons: 2
Source: RefSeq, a predicted model, not a curated record
AACACUUUCAAUGGUCAGUAGAUCAUCCUUCCCGUUUGCAUUCCUUUUUUAUUUAAUUUUUUCCGCCUUAAUUAUGACCUACGACAAAUUGCAAAAAUAUGAGUUACUGGUGUGAUCGAAUUACUAGUAGUAUUGUUGAAUGAGGUAUGCCUUUGUUUGUUGAUAAUUCUAAUUGAAGUAUAUAUGGUCAUGUGGAUGUAAUUGCAGUUGUUGAUGAUAAUUCUAAUUGAAGUAUAUAUUCUAAUUGAAAUUGAUUUUCAUCUCUGUUUUUAUUUCUUUAAAGAGUGGAAGAUGAUUUGGUUAAAUGGGAUUGUUCUUGUUUGGAAAAAGGAGAGAAAUAGAGAGCUAUUGAUGGCAGUAAGAGUUGGUGACUAAAAUGGCAAGGUUCGUGCUUGGAGGGUGGUUGAAAAAUUGUCUCAACAAAAUCCCUUGUGAUUUGAAGGAGCUAAUGCACAGAUUCUUCUGCAACAUUUUUGUAGUAUGUUUUAACUGGCAGUACUCAGUUCUAGCCAUCACGGGGGUUGAACAUCUAAAAUGUUGGCUCAACUGAGGGAAGAGUUGGUGUCCAUCAUUUGGAUUUGGAUGAUUCUCAGCAAGAGAAAAACUUCACCUUCAAAUGUAUAGAAUUCUUGCUGCGAUUGAAGCAACGAUGGGUUGAGCUGAAAAUGGACUGAUUAGAUGUAUGUUAGGUGUUAUAGGGAAGGAUUUGGAAGGAUUUGUGUUUGCUUAUUGUAAUACUUGUGUUUGAUCUUUGUAAUUUGUCCUAAAUUAACUUAAUUAAAAUUUGA